UACGUAGGAUGCAAGCGUUGUCCGGAAUUAUUGGGCGUAAAGAGCGCGCAGGCGGUCUAUCAAGUCAGAUGUGAAAUAUCCAGGCUUAACCUGGAGGGGUCAUUUGAAACUGGUAGACUAGAGUACAGCAGAGGAUAGUGGAAUUCCCGGUGUAGUGGUGAAAUGCGUAGAUAUCGGGAGGAACACCAGUGGCGAAGGCGACUAUCUGGGCUGAAACUGACGCUGAGGCGCGAAGGCUAGGGGAGCAAACAGGG
RNAcentral lists this ribosomal RNA (254 nucleotides) under uncultured bacterium. Its description in RNAcentral is "partial 16S ribosomal RNA". It matches the Rfam family "Bacterial small subunit ribosomal RNA", at positions 524 to 777 of the family's 1533-position model. The record is from RNAcentral.